CAAUAGCGUAUAUUAAAGUUGUUGCAGUUAAAACGCUCGUAGUCGGAUUUCGGGGCGGGGCCGCCGGUCUGCCGAUGGGUAUGCACUGGCGGGCGCGUCCUUCCUUCCGGAGACUGGCCCUACUCUUAACUGAGCGGGGUCGGGAAUCGGAUCGUUUACUUUGAAAAAAUCAGAGUGUUUCAAGCAGGCAAUUUGUUCUUGCAUGGAUUAGCAUGGGAUAAUGAAAUAGGACUUUGGUGCUAUUUUGUUGGUUUCGAACACCGAAGUAAUGAUUAACAGGGACAGUCAGGGGCACUCGUAUUCCGCCGAGAGAGGUGAAAUUCUCAGACCAGCGGAAGACGAACUACUGCGAAAGCAUUUGCCAGGGAUGUUUUCACUG
This 379-nucleotide ribosomal RNA is filed under the name uncultured eukaryote. RNAcentral's name for it is "partial 18S ribosomal RNA". It matches the Rfam family "Eukaryotic small subunit ribosomal RNA", at positions 592 to 975 of the family's 1831-position model. The record is from RNAcentral.